AUGCAAGAUACCACUACAUACUGAAAAAUAUUAGACACGACGUCUGGUGAAUAACGUUAUCUGGUGAAUAACGCGAGUCGAGAGCAUCAACAACGCUCUCGUGUCGCAAAACGGAAAGUUAUUGCGAAACGAGGAAACGAUUAUAGAAAUGCAACGCGGCAAAAGUGUAUUAUUUCUUAUUAUGUUGCGCAAAACUGUAACAGAACAGACUUAACCGUGUAUCGUGAGUUCUCGUCAAGCAUUUCCCCAAGGAAAUGUACGUCUGCAUGACUCGCGCUGAGAAUAAAUCGUAAUUGUACUUCAUUUAACUCGCGAGUUGUUGAGUUGAAAGGGACGUGUAAUCGUGCUCAUCCUUCUUCACCACGUAAACUGGAAAUGUUUUAAACGUGACAGUUUGUCUUGCGAGACACGAUGGAAAAGUUGACGAUAUUGUUCGUUGCUUGCUAGCUUGUUAGUUUCGUCUUCGUCCGCUGUUGAUCAUUACUCGAACAACUGGAGGUUUAGGUUAGGUUCGAAAUGAAUGCAUGCUUUUUUUCAAAUAGACAAUAAAACGUUAAUUAAUUGUUAAUUUGCAUACGUGUUACAUAAGAUAUAUAAUUUAAAAAAUAACCGUAAAAUUAUGGAAGAGUAAUUUCAUCUUGUUAUUUGAAAAGAAAGUUUGUUGCUAGGUGUAAUUGAACAUACAAACCAAUGGCAAAUUAAUUAUGUAUUGUCUUCCUGGUUGUGUAACAAAAUUUUUUAGUAUUUAAUAAUUACUAUAAUUAUAAAAGAAAAUAAUAAUUGCGAAUAUUAUACUGAAGUUAAAAAAAUAGUUCGUUAUUACUUAUAAUUUUAUUAUUACUAUAUUACGUGUCGUUAAAUUCUUUCAUAGAGAACAGAAUUUGAUGAACAUGUAAAAAUGUAUGUUCAGAAAUUUCCAUUGCUAUUCCAUUCAUAUUAUAAAUUACCGUGUAUUACAAAUCCGAGUAAUUAAUUCGCAGAAUUUAUUAUCGGCAUUAAUCAAAAUCUACCGUUAUUACUUGGAAGUUGCGUGUCUGAGGUAAGUUUUUGCAGAAACUCAUUAGUACGUCGUGUUAUCGUUGAAACUUGAGUGCGUAAUAUAAAUUACUUAUUGUCGAGAGUGGCGAGUGGCAAGGAUACGCUUAAAGAGAUACGACCGUCUUGUUUAUGAUUCCUACGAGCAUUUUGUGUUUCGAAUAACACGCGAUAACGAUGGUCGAGAAUAAAACGAAACGUUGCUCAAAUGGGGAGGAAGAGGAAAAGACUUUCUCCGAGCGAGAAGAUCCUUAUUCGCUUUCCCUGAUGUAUCUGUCCAUGUUCCUGCUACCAAAUAUUCGCUAAGGACAACAAUGUUGAGAUACAUAAUCAUUGUUAUAUCUUUCCCUAAAAUAAGAAUAUUUUUAAAUUUUUAUUUGAAAAAAAUUACAAAAAAUCAUAAGUAAUCUGAACACAUUGUACAUACGAAUACUUAAGUAUUUCGCAUCGUUAAGAUCGAUAUUAUCGGACGAUAUGCGUCCUGCAACGCCUACCUGAUGCUCCAUUACGUACAUCAAUGUUAAGGUCGUCUCAUCCCCAGUUGCCGCGUAACGAAACGUAAUGGAAAUUGGUGAUCAUCAACCUGCAAUGUGGGUCAAGUUGAUGUCCGGUUUCGUGGAACUGGAAUACGAGCAUCAUGUCAAAGCUACGUGCUAUAUCGAAAAGUAGAACUAUCGAACACAUGAAAUACCUCUCUCUCCCUUUCAAAAUAUAAAGGAAAUAAUCGUGGAACACUCUCUAACCCGACAGCAAUGAGAAAACGAAUAUUUUUUUGUUGUGUUUGGUGGCGUUUUCCAACGCCAGAACAAAUCAACACGUCAGGUUACAUAACAACUAUUCACUAUAUUCUGAAAAAUAUGCUCGAUAGAUAUAUACACGCAUAUGGAAGACUUUCACGGAUGCUUUAUCGCGGUGAACGGACAGGUUUGUAUAGCUAAUUUGAAAUAGGAGAUUACCAUUAUCCGUUGAUAUUGAUGAUAAGAUCGAGUGUAUUUCAUAUUUGAAUUUACCGCCAUUUUUAAAUGACUUCACGAGUAUGUCUGAAAAUUGAACAGGUCGUUCUUUGAGAUGAAAUGGGAUGAAAAUCAAGAAUGAUGAAAUUAUAUUUUAUAUUAGUUUCGAUUUUCGAUAAUUAGAAAUUGACGAAAGUACCUCUGUGCGCGAGCAAGCCGCCAUAUUGGACUUGAUCACUAACCUCUACAAUAUGGAUCCCCGUCUUGUUACUUUCAAGAAGAUUACAAAGAAACGCAUUCUUGGAACAGUAUUUAAAAACGAUUAAUUUAUUUCCUUUGUAAUGUAAUUUUUCUUACGAGGUAUGUAUUCUUUUUAUGUCCAUAUUAGAAAAUUAUUUAAUUUCUAAUUAAUUUUACGUAUUAUCAUUUUUAUAUGCAAUUAUUUACGUAAUUCAAUUUUUUUUUCUUCGAGAAAUUGAAUGUUAAAUCAGGUAUUCAAAUAAUAAAAUUAAAAGUCUCACAAAAAGUUAAUCGGCUUCUGAUUUAAUCUUAAAUCACCAUUUGCCAAUGAUUUAGCCGAUUUUGCUCGCCCAAAGAUAAAAGAAUAAAAGUAUUCGGACCGGUCUACCGAUACGGAGGUAGGAUUGAUGACGAUCGAAGGCACUUUCCAUGAAAUUCCUCGAGUCGCCUCCCGCCAGGUUUCAUCAUCGUACGAAAGAAAUCGAAAACUAUCCGCGUCGAUGCAUUCUUCCAGAUAUCCAGAUUCCGGUUCUUGGCUGUCCUUAACAUUGAACGAGCUGGUCGUGUCCGACCUUACGUCGGAGAGGAUGUUUUGCAACUUCGAGAUUUCACUUUGAUACCCUGCAUUCUUGCUGGCCACUGGAAUCGUGUCCAUCGCUUUAAUCAGAGGGGACAUCCUUUAGAGAAAUGGAUUGAUAAUUAAAAAAUGACGUUGCUUUCGUCGAUAAUGUAAUUAAAAUUAGAGAGACACGAUUGAUUAUGGAUAGAAGAUGAAAAAAAAAAUGUGAAACUGACUUGAAUACUGGAUCUUGCACGAAAGAUAUCAUUUAUUUAAUUUAUUUUAUUUGCCAACGUGAAGAAUCAUCCUCGAGCAAAAUAGAACUCGAAAGUGUGAAGCCAUGAAGUAAGAUUCAUUCUCUUGACCAAUCCAUUUCGAAAUUUGAACGAUUGAAAUGAUCUCGCCACCUUAAUUCGUUCAUUUUCUCGCACCGUGACCCGCAUUCCAAUUUACAGAAAAUGAAUCGUGAAAGGGAAAGAGGAUCGCCUAAUUAAAAUCACGGCAACGUGCACGCCUUCGUUUCCGUAUCGUGGAAACACGAAUUUAAGGAGGCGUAGAUUCAUGAACGAUGACGCGGUUGGAAUAGAAAGCGUGCCGGGAGACGAGCCCGCGAUACAUCAACGUGCAACGUGAUGUUAGGAAGGGACGUGUUUAUCAAAAAAUCGGCGCCAUAUCGAGCGAGAAGAGUCUGUUACGAUCGAAAAGAGCGUAUUCCGUUUCUACGAUUCGGAUUCGCUUUUACAAAAUUGACUUUCUCUGGGGCACGGGUGUGUCCCCCCAAACCUAACGACGUGAUCGAGAUCGUUAUUGACGAUCCAUAUCCACGGAUCUGGGAUUGAAUUGGUAAUUAUAUCACUGUUGUUUGAAAAACAAACAAUUAUUCGUUUAUUCACAAGAAUGAGUUUAUCUUAAAUGAUUAUUCCUAUUGUUCUAAUUUUUUGUACGUUUCAUAUUAUGAUUAUUCAUAUUACAAUUGAUUUUGAUUAAAAAGAAUAUUCGUUUGUUUGUUUACAAUUAUUUGUAUUAUAAUUGAUUAAUUUGAUUUUAUGCUUUGGAUUAUUGUUACUGUUCUAUAUUCUUUGUAUUUUGUAAAUCAAGAUUAUACACAUUGCGAUUGAUUCUUUUUUCAA
Long non-coding RNA from Apis cerana (Asiatic honeybee), 3917 nucleotides. RefSeq lists it as uncharacterized. The record is from RefSeq and is a predicted model, not a curated record. Lineage: Eukaryota; Metazoa; Arthropoda; Insecta; Hymenoptera; Apidae.